AUGCUGCUUUUCAUCCUUCUGCCCAAGGAGAAUAAAUGUUUGUGCAAACCUUUUUUCAUGUGGCUGCCCAGAAAUGACCCGAGUGAAGCCAAGAAGUUGAACAUUAAGCAACCUCGCCCUGGUGAUGCUGCUGAAAUGAGAGCCUUCAGAAUGCAUCCUCUGACACUGUGUGACACAGCCCAGCUGUAAAUUUUCUUGCCUGAAGAUUUGUCACUCUACAUUAUUCCUGCAGUAAACACACACA
This 244-nucleotide long non-coding RNA is filed under the name Zonotrichia albicollis (white-throated sparrow). Its description in RNAcentral is "lncRNA (ENSZALG00000013471.1)". Lineage: Eukaryota; Metazoa; Chordata; Aves; Passeriformes; Passerellidae. The record is from RNAcentral.